GGGGGGGGGUGGUUGAUGUGCUUGAGAUGCAAAGAUCUAGAUAAAAUAAAAUAAAAAAAUGUUUAUUUUUAGCUACGCUCCUUGGAGCUCGAUGUUAAUCUCACUUCGCCUCCUGUAAUUCACAAAUGUCAUCACUUUACUUUUUGAAACUCAAGAUUCACUACACUUUACUAUGGUUCUGUUUAUUCUCAAAUUCACUCACAUUUUGUCUCCUGAAACUCAAAAUUUGCUCUAAAUUAACUUAGUUAUGUUAAUUCCGUUCAAAAGCCGUCAAAUAUGCUUAGUUUAUCCUACCACUACCGACCCCAUCUGGCGGGCGAGAGCUCCCUCUUCAAAUAAGCAUGUACGAAGUAUGAUUAAGUAAAGAAUAGAAUGAGCACCAAUUGAAAUAAGAAAAGAAAAUAUUAUUAUCAAAUAUAGAAUAAAAAAAAAUUAAAAACACAAAUUCUUUCGGUACAACUCAAUUUAAACAUUGCUUUUGACAUUUGCUCGAGUUUAAUUCUCUAUCUAUCUUUAAAAACCACAUGGUGAAAUUACAAAGUUUUUACAUAUUCAGAAACUAGGUGAAAAGAUGAAGGAAACUAAUAAGAGAAAUUUUUUUACAACAGAUCUGCAAAUCUAAUUCAAUUAAAUUGGUUAAUAAACUUCAAUAAGUAAGGUUACUCAUUGCUUUAAUUAUCAAUGUAAUUAUCUAAACGAAACUAACCUUACUCAUUAAAAGGUUUCAGUACAUAUUUUGCUAAGUUCGUGCAACUGAAAAAAAAAAAUAUUUAGGCCCUUUGGAGAUGGUUAUGGACGAUGAUGAAGAGGCAGAGGUAUCUAAAACUAACAUUAGGUUAGAAGGGAGUCAUCAAACUAAAAUAGCAACUCAAGCUCAUUAUGAUUCUUUAUCCGCAUCAGAAAGUAGGAAAAGGGUAGACAUUGCCAGCCAAUUUGAAAGUCAACUUUAAUUCUCUGUCCCUCCUAUAUACCAAUCAAAUACAGAAAGAAAGCAAAGCAAACCACCUCGUAAUUUGGAUGGUUGACAAUUGAGGGAGUCAAUUCCAGACCAUAUACAAGUAAGAAAGAAUUUUACUGCAUCAAACAUGUUCAUUUCCUCCUAUGCAUUCAGACUAGGUAAUACCAUGUUCUAAUUUGAGCCUCUGUGUAGUGACAUUCCUAACAAAGUGUUGAUCUAUAUAAACAAGUUGCAGUUUUACAUUUUAGUUAUGCAAAAAUAAUAUGAUCAGUGCUAAUCUAAAGAAUGACGCUGGAAUUGUAUGAUUACUGCAAUAAACAUAAGACAUCAUGUUAUAGUAUUCUGCUUUCUGAUGGACAAGAUUGAUAAACCAUAAAACUUUACUUGAGUUUCAGGUAUAACUUCUCUCAAUUUCAGUAACAUUGACACUAACUGGUUCAACUAUAAAAAGUGGAAGCAGGAUAUUGAAAUCGUGCUGGGGCUGAUGGAUUUUGACCUGGCUUUAAGGGAAGAUGAGCCUGCGCCACUCAUUGUAGACAACACAGUGGAACAGAAAACUAAGUUGAAAAGUGGGAAAAAGCUAAUCGUAUGUCACUACUGAUCAUGAGGAAGGCAAUGACUGAGUCAGUGAGAGGGGGCAUUCCAAAAAGUAAGAAGGCGAAGGAAUUUUGCACUUCAAUUGGUGAAAAAUUCAAGGAGUAAGACAAGGCAGAAACAAGUAAUUUCCUCACCAAACUCACCACAAUGAAGUUUAAUGUAGGGGUGGGCAUAAAAACUGCCAAACCGGAAAACUGAAUCGAACCGUGACAAAAAAAACCUUAAAAAAACUACGUUGACCAAAAAAGUCAAAACCGGAACAAAAACCGAACCGAACCAAACCGUUUCAAUUGGAAGUAAGGGAAUUAUUGAUUUUUGAUUGGUGGCUUUGGACCACACACAUACCUUCUCUCUCUCACUCCCGUGCUCUCUCUCUCUCUCUCGGUUUUCACUCUCUCUCUUCCCUCUUUGUACGAACAAGCUUCAACUCACCCCAAACCUUGCAGAUCGAGGGUGUAAUUGUCACCAUUGUGUUCCUUGUGAUGCUACGAAUCGUUUGACACCAGUUUUAGGUAAGUAAUCAUUCGAAAACUCGUAAACCCAUAACCAAAAAUUUCAUGCACUGUUCACACUCAGGUAAAAUCUUGUGUUUUAGGGAAAUCUAACUUAUAGGAAGCUUAAUGAGAUCCUCACGAGUCUCGGGGUAGCUCGUUCGAGGAAUUUGGACAUCAUGAUCACGAGAAACAUCGAGUUGCAGUUUAGGUCGGAAUUUUGAAGCUUCCCCAACGUGAUUUCGUGAGAUUUGAAGCUUCAAAUAGGUAUAACACCAUUCUUCUCACUCUAAGCUUUCAUUUGGUUCAAAUUUCAUGAAAAAUGGUUGAGAAACAAGUGAAAAUAGUGAGUUUAAAAUUUUACCCAGUUU
This 2417-nucleotide long non-coding RNA is filed under the name Malus domestica (apple). Its description in RNAcentral is "long non-coding RNA (MDOM_LNC017646)". Lineage: Eukaryota; Viridiplantae; Streptophyta; Magnoliopsida; Rosales; Rosaceae. The record is from RNAcentral.